Culex pipiens pallens (northern house mosquito) is the source of this 445-nucleotide long non-coding RNA. RefSeq lists it as uncharacterized. The record is from RefSeq and is a predicted model, not a curated record. The transcript is spliced from 3 exons. NCBI's taxonomy places the organism in Eukaryota, Metazoa, Arthropoda, Insecta, Diptera, Culicidae.
GAGCAAUCGGUGCAGUAGGUAUCCCUCGUCGACACGGGAGCCAACUGUUGAGUACAUUAGUUCGAUUUGUCACAUUUGAUAGAUGGUCAAGGAACGUCAAGUUCAAAUUCGCUCCGUCAGCCUUUUCUGACAUCAGUCUAUUAGCAAUCUCUUCAACGGUAGACGUGUACAAUUAAGCACAUCUAUUGGGUUGCUUACAAAUAAGAGUUCGUUCUGUAGUGGUUAGAAUUAUAAACGGACACUAAAUCUUCGAGCUGAACUGAACUGCAACUAGCGUGUUCUCUGCUUCCAGGAUUAAUCCGAGUUCUAAUCACCACGUACAAACAUUUUCCCAAAAUAUGGUGGAUUUUGAUGUACACUACCUUAAAUGCCAAUUGUUUGAAGAUUGACCCAAUCUCACCCCUUAGAGGGGGUGACAUUGGGUCAAAUGAAACUAAAAUAAUGC